Molecule: ribosomal RNA, 305 nt
Filed under: uncultured bacterium
Lineage: Bacteria
Description: bacterial SSU rRNA
Rfam family: Bacterial small subunit ribosomal RNA
Source: RNAcentral
GUGCCUACGGGGGGCAGCAGUGGGGAAUAUUGCACAAUGGGGGGAACCCUGAUGCAGCGACGCCGCGUGGGUGAAGGAGUAUUUCGGUAUGUAAAGCCCUAUCAGCAGGGAAGAACAAUGACGGUACCUGACUAAGAAGCACCGGCUAAAUACGUGCCAGCAGCCGCGGUAAUACGUAUGGUGCAAGCGUUAUCCGGAUUUACUGGGUGUAAAGGGAGCGUAGACGGUGCAGCAAGUCUGAUGUGAAAGGUCGGGGCCCAACCCCGGGACUGCAUUGGAAACUGUUGAACUGGAGUACAGGAGAG